RNAcentral lists this ribosomal RNA (1343 nucleotides) under uncultured bacterium. RNAcentral describes it as "16S ribosomal RNA". It matches the Rfam family "Bacterial small subunit ribosomal RNA", at positions 28 to 1378 of the family's 1533-position model. The record is from RNAcentral.
GACGAACGCUUGCGGCGUGCUUAACACAUGCAAGUCGAACGGAAAGGCCCUGCUUUUGUGGGGUGCUCGAGUGGCGAACGGGUGAGUAACACGUGAGUAACCUGCCCUUGACUUUGGGAUAACUUCAGGAAACUGGGGCUAAUACCGGAUAGGAGCUCCUGCUGCAUGGUGGGGGUUGGAAAGUUUCGGCGGUUGGGGAUGGACUCGCGGCUUAUCAGCUUGUUGGUGGGGUAGUGGCUUACCAAGGCUUUGACGGGUAGCCGGCCUGAGAGGGUGACCGGCCACAUUGGGACUGAGAUACGGCCCAGACUCCUACGGGAGGCAGCAGUGGGGAAUAUUGCACAAUGGGCGGAAGCCUGAUGCAGCAACGCCGCGUGCGGGAUGACGGCCUUCGGGUUGUAAACCGCUUUCGCCUGUGACGAAGCGUGAGUGACGGUAAUGGGUAAAGAAGCACCGGCUAACUACGUGCCAGCAGCCGCGGUGAUACGUAGGGCGCGAGCGUUGUCCGGAUUUAUUGGGCGUAAAGGGCUCGUAGGUGGUUGAUCGCGUCGGAAGUGUAAUCUUGGGGCUUAACCCUGAGCGUGCUUUCGAUACGGGUUGACUUGAGGAAGGUAGGGGAGAAUGGAAUUCCUGGUGGAGCGGUGGAAUGCGCAGAUAUCAGGAGGAACACCAGUGGCGAAGGCGGUUCUCUGGGCCUUUCCUGACGCUGAGGAGCGAAAGCGUGGGGAGCGAACAGGCUUAGAUACCCUGGUAGUCCACGCUGUAAACGGUGGGUACUAGGUGUGGGGUCCAUUCCACGGGUUCCGUGCCGUAGCUAACGCUUUAAGUACCCCGCCUGGGGAGUACGGCCGCAAGGCUAAAACUCAAAGGAAUUGACGGGGCCCCGCACAAGCGGCGGAGCAUGCGGAUUAAUUCGAUGCAACGCGUAGAACCUUACCUGGGUUUGACAUGGAUCGGGAGUGCUCAGAGAUGGGUGUGCCUCUUUUGGGGUCGGUUCACAGGUGGUGCAUGGCUGUCGUCAGCUCGUGUCGUGAGAUGUUGGGUUAAGUCCCGCAACGAGCGCAACCCUUGUUCACUGUUGCCAGCACGUUAUGGUGGGGACUCAGUGGAGACCGCCGGGGUCAACUCGGAGGAAGGUGGGGAUGACGUCAAGUCAUCAUGCCCCUUAUGUCCAGGGCUUCACGCAUGCUACAAUGGCUGGUACAGAGAGUGGCGAGCCUGUGAGGGUGAGCGAAUCUCGGAAAGCCGGUCUCAGUUCGGAUUGGGGUCUGCAACUCGACCUCAUGAAGUCGGAGUCGCUAGUAAUCGCAGAUCAGCAACGCUGCGGUGAAUACGUUCCCGGG